CAUUGUUUAAUAUAAUUGUAUGUUUGUUUUCCAAACAAAAAGAUUAAGCGGAGCUUAAAAUAGUGA
RNAcentral lists this transfer RNA (66 nucleotides) under Diversibipalium mayottensis. Its description in RNAcentral is "tRNA-Gly". Lineage: Eukaryota; Metazoa; Platyhelminthes; Tricladida; Geoplanidae. The record is from RNAcentral.